This is a long non-coding RNA of Platichthys flesus (European flounder), 1193 nucleotides long. RefSeq lists it as uncharacterized. The record is from RefSeq and is a predicted model, not a curated record. The transcript is spliced from 4 exons. Lineage: Eukaryota; Metazoa; Chordata; Actinopteri; Pleuronectiformes; Pleuronectidae.
UGCAGUGUAGUAUUUUUACUACAUUUUAAUACUUUUAAUAUUUAUAACAUUUGGAUCUGCUGCUGCCUUAUGGCUGCCGUGUGAGGACCUAGUGAGAUUCAAUACAUUGUUGGAGAUUAAGAGUGAGAGAACACCAGAGAAUAACUGUGGGUAGAAUGAAGGGUUUGAGCAUCACUAAGUCACAGCCAGGUGAUCAACAUCCAUCCUGAGUUAUCCAAUCACAAGUUGUCGAUGCUACGAUACAGGUCUGAAUGUGUCUGAACGCAUCCUGAGAUCUGAGACUCAGUGAGCAGGAGGUAGGAGACUGAAGUCUCUGUUUAUAUUCCUGUGCUCAGGUGUUGUCUACUCCAUCAGAACAUGUCGCUGCUCACAAACUGUUGAUAGUGUUGUCUUAUCACGUCUCCUCUUCUCUCUUCAGGUAACCAUGCUGAAAGUCAUCAGUGACCUGGAUUCGGAUCUCACCAACAUGGUCAAGUUCCAUGAAGAAUUCCAGCACCUGGACCAGACAUGUUUGGUGUUUGAGUGGCUGGACAUGAGUCUCUAUGACCUGCUAGAGCAGUGAGAGUGGGAACACCGUCCUCUUCAUGAGAUCCGCCCAGUUUCCAAGCAGCUCUUGGUGGCCUUGGAUGCCCUGAAGGGUCUCGGGGUCCUGCACACGGACAUAAAACCAGACAACGUUAUGUUCGUGAACAGGAAGGAUCAGCCCAGAAGUUAAUUGACUUUGGCUCCGCCAUGGUGGCGUCCCAAGUCCAGCUGGGGCUGGAGAUCCAGCCGUGUGGGUACAUAUGAAGAACAUGGGGACAGUGCUGGGCCAGCCGCAGGACCACCUGCUCCGUGCUGGCAGGUGCAGCAAGCAGUUCUUCAUCGAAGAGGAGGGUGAAGACAGUCCAUCAUGGAGACUGAUGAUCACUAAAGGAGACUAUGCGCUUAUGUGGAAACGUUAUGUCGUCACGGACGUGAACCCCAGCCUUGGAUGGAGACUACGUAUUUUCACUGAGCGGGAAAAACGUGACGUCAACCUUAUAAGGAAAGUCCUCCCUCUGCCCCUGGAUUUUCCUGUUUGAGCUCACCUUCGUAGGCUAACAUAAACAAUGGCUUCUCUCCCUCCCUCUUGCUCCAUUACUCUCUCCUGCUCCUAGUAUCUACUGUUUACCUACUCCUUUGCCUCCUUUAACCCCUGUAUGUCGUUCGGG